AUGAACGCUGGCGACGUGGAUAAGGCAUGCAAGUCGAGUGGGUUUAGACCCACGGCGAACGAGGUAGUAACACGUAGGAACGCACCUUCAAGUCAGGAAUAAUCCGGUGAAAGCCGGACUAAUACUUGAUAGUCCCGAAAGGGUAAAGAUUUAUCGCUUGAAGAGCGGCCUGCGGAGUAUCAGCUAGUUGGUAGUGUAAAGGACUACCAAGGCUAUGACGCUUAGGGGAGGUGAGAGCCUGACCCCCACCGAUGGUACUGAGACACGGACCAUACACCUACGGGUGGCUGCAGUCGAGAAUCUUCCACAAUGGGCGAAAGCCUGAUGGAGCGACGUCGCGUGAUUGAUGAAGUCCUUAGGGACGUAAAGAUCUUUUAUAGAGGAGAAAACUGCGUUUACGCAGUGUGAUAGUACUCUAUGAAUAAGGGGUUGCUAAACUCGU
Molecule: ribosomal RNA, 442 nt
Filed under: uncultured bacterium
Lineage: Bacteria
Description: bacterial SSU rRNA
Rfam family: Bacterial small subunit ribosomal RNA
Source: RNAcentral